Molecule: ribosomal RNA, 160 nt
Filed under: uncultured bacterium
Lineage: Bacteria
Description: partial 16S ribosomal RNA
Rfam family: Bacterial small subunit ribosomal RNA
Source: RNAcentral
UAAUGGCAGGUCAGCAUACUGCCGUGAAUACGUUCCCGGGCCUUGUACACACCGCCCGUCACACCAUGAGAGUUGGGAAUACCCGAAGCCUGUGAGCUAACGUAAGAGGCAGCAGUCGAAGGUAGAAUCAAUGAUUGGGGUGAAGUCGUAACAAGGUAAC